AAAAAAUUAAUUGUCUUCCUUGUAAUCAAAGAGGGCAAAAGAGAUUGCCUUUCUAGAUUCCAAUCAAGGAGAGCGAAAGAAGAAGGUGCCUUCCUUGAAAUAAUCAAAGAGGCGAAAAAAGUUUUCCUCUCUGAUUUCAGUCAAGGAGGGUGAAAAAUAUUGCCCUAUUUGAUUGAAAUUAAAGAGGGCGAAAAAUAUUGCCCUAUUUGACUGAAAUCAAAGAGGGCGAAAAAAAUUAGUUUGCCCUGCUAAGCUAAUACAUCAAGCCUUAUUUGAUCUUAUAUGUUGUAGUGAAGAGUACAAACCCGAAACCCGACACUACACGGCUACACUACAUUUACACUAUAGAAGAAAAUUAUGCUAAGUCUAAACUAUGAACAAAACAAAGAACUAACUAAAGAACCUAAAUAAAACCUGUAACUAAAACAAAUUAAAGAACACUGAAGAGAACUAAGAAAAACAAACAUAUAAAGUAUAUAAUUACAAUAUACUGCGUAUUACAAUAAUUACAAAGACCAAAAAUGAAUUUGAGCUGCAUCUUCAACCAGCACAAGCUACAAGAAGAGAGAGCUCAUAGAUUGAUCUCGCAACUAACGAUUUCUGGCUAAGGACAGACCAAUUCCAUGCCGGCAACAUAGGAAUACCGGCAAGGGCAAAACGGACAAAGAUGACGGCUGGGCUCUAACCGACAUCUUCAGAUUUGGUGGUGUCGAGGACGUUUCUGAUGUCUGGGGACAAAAAUCUAAGCCAAGCAGAGACUGAAUUUCAGAUAAACAGAAAAAGGGAAGCAAAGGUGAUUCUAGGAGAUGGAAGACUGAAGAAGAUCUACGAGGGCGGCUGACAGCCCCGGUCCUGACAUUUUGAGAGCCCUAGGCGAAAUAAUGGAUUAGGGCCCUUUCGAAAUGAUACGUCUUUAACUGAAAUAAUAUCAUUUUUUUUGUUAAAUCCAUUAUAUUGUUGAAUUCAAAUUAAUAAAAUAUUAUUAUAUAUCA
This is a long non-coding RNA of Spinacia oleracea (spinach), 992 nucleotides long. RefSeq lists it as uncharacterized. The transcript is spliced from 2 exons. The record is from RefSeq and is a predicted model, not a curated record. NCBI's taxonomy places the organism in Eukaryota, Viridiplantae, Streptophyta, Magnoliopsida, Caryophyllales, Amaranthaceae.